This 234-nucleotide long non-coding RNA is filed under the name Ictidomys tridecemlineatus (thirteen-lined ground squirrel). Its description in RNAcentral is "lncRNA (ENSSTOG00000033715.1)". The record is from RNAcentral. Lineage: Eukaryota; Metazoa; Chordata; Mammalia; Rodentia; Sciuridae.
CAGGACAGCAGGGAGCCAUUCUGGUCAGAGUCAGCGCCUCUGCCUCCACGGAGUGCCCAGAGGGAUGCUGCAAGAAUACCUGAUAAUGAUAACCGUCAGCAGAAAGUACUUGAAACAAGGUCAAGACUGUUACUGAUAAACCAAAGGAUAAUUAAACAAAAUGUACUCUAUGGGAAAGAUCCCCCCUCUCUUGAAAAAAUUAUACAUGUUCUUAUAGAUUAACUGUAAAACACA